GAUGAACGCUGGCGGCGUGCCUAAUACAUGCAAGUCGAGCGAACAGACGAGGAGCUUGCUCCUCUGACGUUAGCGGCGGACGGGUGAGUAACACGUGGAUAACCUACCUAUAAGACUGGGAUAACUUCGGGAAACCGGAGCUAAUACCGGAUAAUAUAUUGAACCGCAUGGUUCAAUAGUGAAAGACGGUUUUGCUGUCACUUAUAGAUGGAUCCGCGCCGCAUUAGCUAGUUGGUAAGGUAACGGCUUACCAAGGCAACGAUGCGUAGCCGACCUGAGAGGGGGACCGGCCAACCGGGAACUGAGACCGGGCCCAGACUCCUAGGGGAGGCAGCGGUAGGAAAUCUUCGGCAAUGGGCGAAAGCCUGACGAGGCAACGCCGCGUGAGUGAUGAAGGCCUUCGGACCGUAAACCCCUGUUAUUGGGGAAGAACAAAUGGGAAAGUAACUAUGCACGUCUGGACGGUACCUAACCAGAAAGCACGGCUAACUACGUG
This 496-nucleotide ribosomal RNA is filed under the name uncultured bacterium. RNAcentral's name for it is "partial 16S ribosomal RNA". It matches the Rfam family "Bacterial small subunit ribosomal RNA", at positions 28 to 507 of the family's 1533-position model. The record is from RNAcentral.